GACGAACGCUGGCGGCGUGCUUAACACAUGCAAGUCGAACGGAAAGGCCCUGCUUGCAGGGUACUCGAGUGGCGAACGGGUGAGUAACACGUGGGUGAUCUGCCCCUUACUUUGGGAUAAGCCUGGGAAACUGGGUCUAAUACUGGAUAGGACCAUGCUGUAGGUGGUGUGGUGGAAAGAUUAGUUUCGGUAAGGGGGGUGCUCGCGGCAUAUCAGCUUGUUGGUGGGGUUAUGGCCUACCAAGGCGUCGACGGGUGGGCGGCGUGAGAGGGUGUACGGCGACAUUGUGAGUGUGAGACGGCGCAGAGUCCUCCGGGAGGCGGAAGUGGGGAGUAUUGCGCAAUGGGCGCAAGCGUGAUGCAGCGACGCCGCGUGGGGGGUGACGGGCUUCGGGUUGUAUACUCCUUUCAGCCAUGACGAAGCCCUUGUGGUGACGGUAGUGGUAGAAGAAGCACCGGCUAACUACGUG
Molecule: ribosomal RNA, 469 nt
Filed under: uncultured bacterium
Lineage: Bacteria
Description: partial 16S ribosomal RNA
Rfam family: Bacterial small subunit ribosomal RNA
Source: RNAcentral